AACUAUUCAUCAUCAGAACUAAAGCAAUCAAGAGAAGAAGAAGCUAGCUACCAAUUGCUGAAGCUAUGGCACAAAAGACCUUGUAAGAAUUCUCUGCUCCAAGCCUUGAGAACAUUCCAACUGGUCCAAGAUUUGCUGUAGAAGAAGGAGUACUUGAGUUCGAGCUCAUGUCAAGCCUCAUCAAUUUGGUAAAAGCUACAAAAUUCAGUGGAAAGGCACAUGAAGAUGCUAGUGCACACUUGCAGAAUUUC
RNAcentral lists this long non-coding RNA (251 nucleotides) under Sorghum bicolor (sorghum). RNAcentral's name for it is "long non-coding RNA (SBIC_LNC001237)". The record is from RNAcentral. Lineage: Eukaryota; Viridiplantae; Streptophyta; Magnoliopsida; Poales; Poaceae.